This 71-nucleotide transfer RNA is filed under the name Loxodonta africana (African savanna elephant). It matches the Rfam family "tRNA". Rfam says of the family: Transfer RNA (tRNA) molecules are approximately 80 nucleotides in length. Their secondary structure includes four short double-helical elements and three loops (D, anti-codon, and T loops). Further hydrogen bonds mediate the characteristic L-shaped molecular structure. tRNAs have two regions of fundamental functional importance: the anti-codon, which is responsible for specific mRNA codon recognition, and the 3' end, to which the tRNAs corresponding amino acid is attached (by aminoacyl-tRNA synthetases). tRNAs cope with the degeneracy of the genetic code in two manners: having more than one tRNA (with a specific anti-codon) for a particular amino acid; and 'wobble' base-pairing, i.e. permitting non-standard base-pairing at the 3rd anti-codon position. Lineage: Eukaryota; Metazoa; Chordata; Mammalia; Proboscidea; Elephantidae. The record is from Rfam by way of RNAcentral.
GCAUUGGUGGCUCAGAGGUAGAAUUCUCACCUUCUGCGCUGGGGCCCUGGGUUCCAUUCCCAGCCAGUGUA